RNAcentral lists this ribosomal RNA (511 nucleotides) under uncultured bacterium. RNAcentral's name for it is "partial 16S ribosomal RNA". It matches the Rfam family "Bacterial small subunit ribosomal RNA", at positions 355 to 856 of the family's 1533-position model. The record is from RNAcentral.
UAGGGAAUCUUCCACAAUGGACGCAAGUCUGAUGGAGCAACGCCGCGUGAGUGAAGAAGGCUUUCGGGUCGUAAAACUCUGUUGUUGGAGAAGAAUGGUCGGCAGAGUAACUGUUGUCGGCGUGACGGUAUCCAACCAGAAAGCCACGGCUAACUACGUGCCAGCAGCCGCGGUAAUACGUAGGUGGCAAGCGUUAUCCGGAUUUAUUGGGCGUAAAGCGAGCGCAGGCGGUUUUUUAAGUCUGAUGUGAAAGCCCUCGGCUUAACCGAGGAAGCGCAUCGGAAACUGGGAAACUUGAGUGCAGAAGAGGACAGUGGAACUCCAUGUGUAGCGGUGAAAUGCGUAGAUAUAUGGAAGAACACCAGUGGCGAAGGCGGCUGUCUGGUCUGUAACUGACGCUGAGGCUCGAAAGCAUGGGUAGCGAACAGGAUUAGAUACCCUGGUAGUCCAUGCCGUAAACGAUGAAUGCUAGGUGUUGGAGGGUUUCCGCCCCUUCAGUGCCGCAGCUAAC